Molecule: Y RNA, 108 nt
Filed under: Carlito syrichta (Philippine tarsier)
Lineage: Eukaryota; Metazoa; Chordata; Mammalia; Primates; Tarsiidae
Description: Y RNA (ENSTSYG00000036555.1)
Rfam family: Y RNA
About the family: Y RNAs are components of the Ro ribonucleoprotein particle (Ro RNP), in association with Ro60 and La proteins. The Y RNAs and Ro60 and La proteins are well conserved, but the function of the Ro RNP is not known.
Source: RNAcentral
GGCUGAUCUGAAGGUGGUGAGUUAUCUCGAUUGUUCACAGCCAGUUACAGCUUGAACUCCUUGUUCAAAUCUUUCUCCUCUUCUCAUACUGUACUUGACUAAUCCUCA